GGCUGCAACUGUUUAUUAAAAACACAGCACUGUGCAAACACGAAAGUGGACGUAUACGGUGUGACGCCUGCCCGGUGCUGGAAGGUUAAUUGAUGGGGUUAGCGUAAGCGAAGCUCCUGAUCGAAGCCCCAGUAAACGGCGGCCGUAACUAUAACGGUCCUAAGGUAGCGAAAUUCCUUGUCGGGUAAGUUCCGACCUGCACGAAU
RNAcentral lists this ribosomal RNA (206 nucleotides) under Proteus mirabilis. RNAcentral's name for it is "partial 23S ribosomal RNA". It matches the Rfam family "Bacterial large subunit ribosomal RNA", at positions 1796 to 1997 of the family's 2925-position model. The record is from RNAcentral. Lineage: Bacteria; Pseudomonadati; Pseudomonadota; Gammaproteobacteria; Enterobacterales; Morganellaceae.